Molecule: ribosomal RNA, 468 nt
Filed under: uncultured bacterium
Lineage: Bacteria
Description: partial 16S ribosomal RNA
Rfam family: Bacterial small subunit ribosomal RNA
Source: RNAcentral
GACGAACGCUGGCGGCGUGCUUAACACAUGCAAGUCGAACGGAAAGGCCCUGCUUUUGUGGGGUGCUCGAGUGGCGAACGGGUGAGUAACACGUGAGUAACCUGCCCUUGACUUUGGGAUAACUUCAGGAAACUGGGGCUAAUACCGGAUAGGAGCUCCUGCUGCAUGGUGGGGGUUGGAAAGUUUCGGCGGUGGGGGAUGGACUCGCGGCUUAUCAGCUUGUUGGUGGGGUAGUGGCUUACCAAGGCUUUGACGGGUAGCCGGCCUGAGAGGGUGACCGGCCACAUUGGGACUAGGAUACGGGCCAGCAUCCUACAGGAGGCAGCAGGGGGGAAUAUUGCACAAUGGGCGGAAGCGUGAUGCAGCAACGUCGCGUGCGGGAUGACGGCCUUCGGGUUGUAAACCGCUUUCGCCUUUGACGAAGCGGGAGUGACGGUAAUGGGUAAAGAAGCACCGGCUAACUACGUG